Molecule: ribosomal RNA, 427 nt
Filed under: Ostorhinchus sangiensis (Sangi cardinalfish)
Lineage: Eukaryota; Metazoa; Chordata; Actinopteri; Kurtiformes; Apogonidae
Description: partial 12S rRNA
Rfam family: Bacterial small subunit ribosomal RNA
Source: RNAcentral
GGCGCUUCACACCCACCUAGAGGAGCCUGUUCUAGAACCGAUGACCCCCGUUCAACCUCACCUUCUCUUGUCCCCCCCAGCCUAUAUACCGCCGUCGUCAGCCCACCCUGUGAAGGCCCAGCAGUGAGCAGAACUGGUACAGCCCAAAACGUCAGGCCGAGGUGUAGCGUAUGAGAAGGGAAGAAAUGGGCUACAAUUGCCAAAACAGCUAACACGAACUGUUGCGCUGAAACUGCAAGCACGAAGGAGGAUUUAGAAGUAAGGAGGAAAGCAGAGUGUCCUCCUGAAAUGGUUCUGAAGCGUGCACACACCGCCCGUCACUCUCCCCGAAAACCCCUUAUUCAAACCUUAACUAAACACUUCACCGUAUAGAGGGGAGGCAAGUCGUAACAUGGUAAGUGUACCGGAAGGUGCACUUGGAAGAAAA